UACGUAUGGUGCAAGCGUUAUCCGGAUUUACUGGGCGUAAAGGGAGCGCAGGCGGCGCGCCGAGUCUGAUGUGAAACCCCGGGGCUCAACCCCGGGCAUGCAUUGGAAACUGGCGGGCUGGAGUGCCGGAGAGGUAAGCGGAAUUCCUAGUGUAGCGGUGAAAUGCGUAGAUAUUAGGAGGAACACCAGUGGCGAAGGCGGCUUACUGGACGGCAACUGACGCUGAGGCUCGAAAGCGUGGGGAGCAAACAGG
This 253-nucleotide ribosomal RNA is filed under the name uncultured bacterium. RNAcentral describes it as "partial 16S ribosomal RNA". It matches the Rfam family "Bacterial small subunit ribosomal RNA", at positions 524 to 776 of the family's 1533-position model. The record is from RNAcentral.